RNAcentral lists this ribosomal RNA (466 nucleotides) under Vreelandella stevensii. RNAcentral's name for it is "partial 16S ribosomal RNA". It matches the Rfam family "Bacterial small subunit ribosomal RNA", at positions 338 to 795 of the family's 1533-position model. Lineage: Bacteria; Pseudomonadati; Pseudomonadota; Gammaproteobacteria; Oceanospirillales; Halomonadaceae. The record is from RNAcentral.
CCUACGGGGGGGCAGCAGUGGGGAAUAUUGGACAAUGGGCGAAAGCCUGAUCCAGCCAUGCCGCGUGUGUGAAGAAGGCCUUCGGGUUGUAAAGCACUUUCAGUGGGGAAGAAAGCCUUGGGGCUAAUACCCUCGAGGAAGGACAUCACCCACAGAAGAAGCACCGGCUAACUCCGUGCCAGCAGCCGCGGUAAUACGGAGGGUGCGAGCGUUAAUCGGAAUUACUGGGCGUAAAGCGCGCGUAGGCGGUCUGAUAAGCCGGUUGUGAAAGCCCCGGGCUCAACCUGGGAACGGCAUCCGGAACUGUCAGGCUAGAGUGCAGGAGAGGAAGGUAGAAUUCCCGGUGUAGCGGUGAAAUGCGUAGAGAUCGGGAGGAAUACCAGUGGCGAAGGCGGCCUUCUGGACUGACACUGACGCUGAGGUGCGAAAGCGUGGGUAGCAAACAGGAUUAGAUACCCCUGUAGUC